GGGAAGGUAGCUUAAAGUAAAAGCGUUAGAUUUUUAAUCUUUAGAUGCGUUUAGUGCCCUUCCCU
This 65-nucleotide transfer RNA is filed under the name Xylophagaidae sp. E23. RNAcentral describes it as "tRNA-Lys". It matches the Rfam family "tRNA". From Rfam's summary of the family: Transfer RNA (tRNA) molecules are approximately 80 nucleotides in length. Lineage: Eukaryota; Metazoa; Mollusca; Bivalvia; Myida; Xylophagaidae. RNAcentral also lists the same sequence under 1 other name. The record is from RNAcentral.